CCUGAGCCCUGAGUCUUCAUUUAUUUUGGAGAAACAAGGACAGGAGGGACUGGUGAGCCUUUGCCCCAGCUGGGCCCCGGCCAGUGACUCAGGCAACACCAGCAUUAGCAGCAGGGACUUGUUCCCGUCUGUGUGCCCUUCCCAGUCAAGCUAAGACAAGAUUUUCUCCCUGUUCCUCCUCCCCCACCACCCCCCAAACUCCCUCGUCGCCACACCCGAUGACAGACAGACAGAAGCAACAAGGUGCUCUUUGUAAGUGCAAGAGGGUGCCUACCUGCUGGCCUUCUGAUCACUGCUUGCUGCUCCCAGUUGGACAUCAAUGGACUGGCUCUUGGAACAAUCCAGAAGGAAUAAAAGGACUCAAAAAUAGCCAGUGGGGAUGGAGAAGUCCAACCCUAGCCAACUACCCCUGAGUAAGAGUUAAAAAAAAAUAAUAAAGUAACUGUUUAAGUGGACA
This 457-nucleotide long non-coding RNA is filed under the name Phascolarctos cinereus (koala). Its description in RNAcentral is "lncRNA (ENSPCIG00000035454.1)". The record is from RNAcentral. Lineage: Eukaryota; Metazoa; Chordata; Mammalia; Diprotodontia; Phascolarctidae.